RNAcentral lists this ribosomal RNA (274 nucleotides) under uncultured bacterium. RNAcentral's name for it is "partial 16S ribosomal RNA". It matches the Rfam family "Bacterial small subunit ribosomal RNA", at positions 337 to 628 of the family's 1533-position model. The record is from RNAcentral.
GCCUACGGGAGGCAGCAGUGGGGAAUAUUGCACAAUGGGGGAAACCCUGAUGCAGCAACGCCGCGUGGGUGAAGAAGUAUUUCGGUAUGUAAAGCCCUAUCAGCAGGGAAGAGAAUGACGGUACCUGACUAAGAAGCCCCGGCUAACUACGUGCCAGCAGCCGCGGUAAUACGUAGGGGGCAAGCGUUAUCCGGAUUUACUGGGUGUAAAGGGAGCGUAGACGGUUGUGCAAGUCUGAUGUGAAAGCCCGCGGCUCACCUGCGGAACGGCUUUG